UACGAAGGGGGCUAGCGUUGCUCGGAAUCACUGGGCGUAAAGCGCACGUAGGCGGACUCUUAAGUCGGUGGUGAAAUCCUGGAGCUCAACUCCAGAACUGCCUUCGAUACUGAGAGUCUCGAGUCCGGGAGAGGUGAGUGGAAUUGCGAGUGUAGAGGUGAAAUUCGUAGAUAUUCGCAAGAACACCAGUGGCGAAGGCGGCUCACUGGCCCGGUACUGACGCUGAGGUGCGAAAGCGUGGGGAGCAAACAGG
RNAcentral lists this ribosomal RNA (253 nucleotides) under uncultured bacterium. RNAcentral's name for it is "partial 16S ribosomal RNA". It matches the Rfam family "Bacterial small subunit ribosomal RNA", at positions 524 to 776 of the family's 1533-position model. The record is from RNAcentral.